UACGUAGGUGGCGAGCGUUGUUCGGAUUUACUGGGCGUAAAGGGUCCGCAGGGGGCCGGCCAAGUCCGAUGUGAAAUCCCGGAGCUCAACUCCGGAACUGCAUUGGAAACUAGUCGGCUAGAGUCUCGGAGAGGAGAGUGGAAUUCCAGGUGUAGCGGUGGAAUGCGUAGAUAUCUGGAAGAACACCGAAGGCGAAGGCAGCUCUCUGGACGAGUACUGACCCUCAGGGACGAAAGCGUGGGGAGCAAACAGG
Molecule: ribosomal RNA, 253 nt
Filed under: uncultured bacterium
Lineage: Bacteria
Description: partial 16S ribosomal RNA
Rfam family: Bacterial small subunit ribosomal RNA
Source: RNAcentral